This 400-nucleotide ribosomal RNA is filed under the name Bacillus sp. 4V. RNAcentral describes it as "bacterial SSU rRNA". It matches the Rfam family "Bacterial small subunit ribosomal RNA", at positions 48 to 436 of the family's 1533-position model. The record is from RNAcentral. Lineage: Bacteria; Bacillati; Bacillota; Bacilli; Caryophanales; Bacillaceae.
CCUAUACAUGCAAGUCGAGCGAAUGGAUUGAGAGCUUGCUCUCAAGAAGUUAGCGGCGGACGGGUGAGUAACACGUGGGUAACCUGCCCAUAAGACUGGGAUAACUCCGGGAAACCGGGGCUAAUACCGGAUAACAUUUUGAACUGCAUGGUUCGAAAUUGAAAGGCGGCUUCGGCUGUCACUUAUGGAUGGACCCGCGUCGCAUUAGCUAGUUGGUGAGGUAACGGCUCACCAAGGCAACGAUGCGUAGCCGACCUGAGAGGGUGAUCGGCCACACUGGGACUGAGACACGGCCCAGACUCCUACGGGAGGCAGCAGUAGGGAAUCUUCCGCAAUGGACGAAAGUCUGACGGAGCAACGCCGCGUGAGUGAUGAAGGCUUUCGGGUCGUAAAACUCUGU